CCUACGGGAGGCAGCAGUGAGGAAUAUUGGUCAAUGGACGCAAGUCUGAACCAGCCAUGCCGCGUGCAGGAAGACGGCUCUAUGAGUUGUAAACUGCUUUUGUACGAGGGUAAACGCAGAUACGCGUAUCUGUCUGAAAGUAUCGUACGAAUAAGGAUCGGCUAACUCCGUGCCAGCAGCCGCGGUAAUACGGAGGAUUCAAGCGUUAUCCGGAUUUAUUGGGUUUAAAGGGUGCGUAGGCGGUCGGAUAAGUUAGAUGUGAAAUCCCGAGGCUCAACUUCGGAAUUGCCUCUGAUACUGGUAGGCUAGAGAGUAGUUGCGGUAGGCGGAAUGUGUGGUGUAGCGGUGAAAUGCUUAGAGAUCAUACAGAACACCGAUUGCGAAGGCAGCUUACCAAGCUACUUCUGACGUUGAGGCACGAAAGCGUGGGGAGCAAACAGGAUUAGAUACCCUUGUAGUC
Molecule: ribosomal RNA, 460 nt
Filed under: uncultured bacterium
Lineage: Bacteria
Description: partial 16S ribosomal RNA
Rfam family: Bacterial small subunit ribosomal RNA
Source: RNAcentral